GUACAGCAUGGCAUAGUGGUUUGGGUGUAAGACUACAACUCUGGAGACCAGGGUUCAAUUCCCAGCUUGGACA
This 73-nucleotide transfer RNA is filed under the name Phrynosoma platyrhinos (Desert horned lizard). RNAcentral's name for it is "tRNA-OTHER". The record is from RNAcentral. Lineage: Eukaryota; Metazoa; Chordata; Lepidosauria; Squamata; Phrynosomatidae.